AGCGAGAGUAGUUGUUAAUAUGUGAUUCUAUGAAUGGGGAGAAGAAUUACACACAAAGGAGCCCGUGAGGCUCAUAAAUCAACAUUAGAUGUUUUUUAUCCAUUUGUUUUAGAAAUGUGACCGACCUAAUAAUUUGAUACCAUGAUGCUUUUAUUCCUCCUAAAUUAGACCUACGUUGACUUGCGAUUGAGAAGGUAUAAGGUAUUUUGUUGUUUGUCUGUUUGUGUUUAUUAACAUUUUUUGCUUGUUUCCUUUGGUUAGUUUUAGUUAGUAAAAGCGAUGCUGAGCCAGUAGGUGGCGGUAAUGCGCCGCUUAGUUGUUUGCCAAGCGCCAAAGAAAACACAGAAGAAGAGCGCGCGCCGCGGACGUACACAACAAACAUGGCGGGGGGCCGAACAGAAACACACACCUGUGACAAAUGCUAAUUAAAAAGUUUUUUUGACGAUACAGGCAGCACAACUACCAACCUCGUGACUCACCUGAAGCCACCGCGGAGGCGUCUGCCAGUCAACCGGCCUCCCCGCGCCCCGGCUCCGGAGUCAUCGACGGCGACUCCCCCCGAGACUAGUGGUGACGUGGCUCUGCUCUCCCGUGAAUCCCCACCUGCGAAGAGCACGACCAACAUCUUCUCUGCCUACCUCCUGCCAAAGACUCCCAGGCCCCUCAUUCCAGUGCAUCUCUCAGCACUGCCUCUCUUCUCCCUCUCUAGUCUCUGCGAGAAAAGCACCUGAGGGCCUGCACAGGUAUUUCUGCUGAAAGCUAUAAUAAAUCAUUUUGCCUUUGUGUCUCGGCGCUCUGCCCGUUUUGCUAAUGUGUUUUCUCUCUUCCAUCCUGAUUUUGGGGUUGAAAGACACCUACUUUAAAUAGGCGCAGGAGUGUGCUAAGACAGAUUCAGUGCUUGCAAGUGAUUCCUGGUCCUUGUCAUCACUCCAAUGCCCCAUUUCCCCAGGCUGAAUAACACAGGAAGCUUAGUGAGACACCUAUAACAAGUAACAGGUAAGGAGAUGAGAGGAGGGGGGAAGAAAAGAGAAAAUGUAGAAAUUGAAUAUUUGAUUGAUAAUCUUCUGUUGCUGUCCAGCAGAGUUUUGAUCAUAACUCUAUAUGAAAUGCCAGUUACUUUGGUUGUGGUAAAGUGACUCCAGUGAGAAGAAGAAGUAUAGUGUUUAUUCAAAGAGGAAAAAUUCACAUUUUGACCAAAUUUACUCUGUAUAGAGAACAGAUCAGCAGGCCAUGUAAAUAUAAAAAAAAUGGUUUAAUAAAACCAUGAGGGAUGAGAGUUUCCAAAGUACAUAUUAUCUAUGGAGAGGUCACAGUGGUAAAGCAGCCCGCCAUCCGUCUGCAUUGUUUUUGGUGGCCAGAAAGUCAUGAGCGUUCAUUGGAAUCUUUUGGUCAGAGCUUCGCGUUUGAGCCCGAGCCUUCCUGACAACCCCUU
Molecule: long non-coding RNA, 1432 nt
Filed under: Scophthalmus maximus (turbot)
Lineage: Eukaryota; Metazoa; Chordata; Actinopteri; Pleuronectiformes; Scophthalmidae
Description: lncRNA (ENSSMAG00000031427.1)
Source: RNAcentral